GUCCUCGUAGCUUACACAAAGCAUGCCACU
Molecule: transfer RNA, 30 nt
Filed under: Thryothorus ludovicianus (Carolina wren)
Lineage: Eukaryota; Metazoa; Chordata; Aves; Passeriformes; Certhiidae
Description: partial tRNA-Phe
Source: RNAcentral